RNAcentral lists this transfer RNA (69 nucleotides) under bovine gut metagenome. It matches the Rfam family "tRNA". From Rfam's summary of the family: Transfer RNA (tRNA) molecules are approximately 80 nucleotides in length. The record is from RNAcentral.
GGUAUAGCUCAGUUGGUUAGAGCGCAUGCUUCACAUGCAUGAGGUCGUAGGUUCGAGUCCCACUGUCCC